This is a long non-coding RNA of Etheostoma cragini (Arkansas darter), 360 nucleotides long. RefSeq lists it as uncharacterized. NCBI's taxonomy places the organism in Eukaryota, Metazoa, Chordata, Actinopteri, Perciformes, Percidae. The record is from RefSeq and is a predicted model, not a curated record. The transcript is spliced from 3 exons.
UCAGAGAUAGAUCUUUUAAAAACCUCUUCAAGACUUUUUGGUUUAACCAGAAACAGCUCUGACGUCGCCAGCACUAAACCCACCAGACUCCACUUAAAAUAACAAUACUUUUAGUGUGUACAGAGCCAACAUAUUUUCAUUUGUAAAUUGGUCAACUAUGUGUUUAUUUCAACCAAAUCUAGAGUUGUGAUUGUUGGAAAAGUGGAAAGACGACCCAAAACAGCUUUUGAUAGUUUAACAUAGUUUAUGUUGACUUUGAAUAAAGUGUAUUUUAUGAUCCUAAAAUUACUGUUUAUUUACAUGGAGUCUGGUGUCUUAAGCAAAGGCAAUUUUGCAGAUGUUUCCAUGUUUAAAAAAAAG